GGGCCGGUAGAUCAGCUGGAAGAUCGCCACCUUGGCAUGGUGGAGGUCUCGGGUUCAAAUUGCAACUUGCCUG
Molecule: transfer RNA, 73 nt
Filed under: Thermoplasmata archaeon
Lineage: Archaea; Methanobacteriati; Thermoplasmatota; Thermoplasmata
Description: tRNA-Ala
Rfam family: tRNA
About the family: Transfer RNA (tRNA) molecules are approximately 80 nucleotides in length. Their secondary structure includes four short double-helical elements and three loops (D, anti-codon, and T loops). Further hydrogen bonds mediate the characteristic L-shaped molecular structure. tRNAs have two regions of fundamental functional importance: the anti-codon, which is responsible for specific mRNA codon recognition, and the 3' end, to which the tRNAs corresponding amino acid is attached (by aminoacyl-tRNA synthetases). tRNAs cope with the degeneracy of the genetic code in two manners: having more than one tRNA (with a specific anti-codon) for a particular amino acid; and 'wobble' base-pairing, i.e. permitting non-standard base-pairing at the 3rd anti-codon position.
Source: RNAcentral